Molecule: long non-coding RNA, 88 nt
Filed under: Mustela putorius furo (domestic ferret)
Lineage: Eukaryota; Metazoa; Chordata; Mammalia; Carnivora; Mustelidae
Description: lncRNA (ENSMPUG00000024314.1)
Source: RNAcentral
AGAAAAUAUUGUUACACAAAAUUAAAAUCCAAACUGGACACUGAAGAAGCCUGGGUUCAGGAAGUAAGGUCGUAAAACAGUGCCAAAC